AGUGAACGCUGGCGGUAGGCCUAACACAUGCAAGUCGAACGGCAGCACAGUAAGAGCUUGCUCUUACGGGUGGCGAGUGGCGGACGGGUGAGGAAUACAUCGGAAUCUACUUUUUCGUGGGGGAUAACGUAGGGAAACUUACGCUAAUACCGCAUACGACCUACGGGUGAAAGCAGGGGAUCUUCGGACCUUGCGCGAUUGAAUGAGCCGAUGUCGGAUUAGCUAGUUGGCGGGGUAAAGGCCCACCAAGGCGACGAUCCGUAGCUGGUCUGAGAGGAUGAUCAGCCACACUGGAACUGAGACACGGUCCAGACUCCUACGGGAGGCAGCAGUGGGGAAUAUUGGACAAUGGGGGCAAGCCUGAUCCAGCCAUACCGCGUGUGUGAAGAAGGCCUUCGGGUUGUAAAGCCCUUUUGUGGGGAAAGAAAAGCAGCAGGUUAAUACCCCGCUGUUCUGACGGUACCCAAAGAAUAAGCACCGGCUAACUUCGUG
This 492-nucleotide ribosomal RNA is filed under the name uncultured bacterium. Its description in RNAcentral is "partial 16S ribosomal RNA". It matches the Rfam family "Bacterial small subunit ribosomal RNA", at positions 29 to 507 of the family's 1533-position model. The record is from RNAcentral.